AGAAAAUGAAAUCAUAAUCUAAAAUCUCAUUCCAUGGCCAAUUCCAAAGUGAAUCAAACGAGCAAAAUGUAGAUUUCAAACGGGGAUAGAACCCAAUAAUAAUACAAUAAUUGAAAGGCGUAAGGAAAGCUUAAUCAGGGAAGCACAAUUUCUACAUUAAAUAGACCUCUGUCAACACUCAAAACACUGUGGGUGAAUUAUUGUACUGGACUCUUAAAUAAUCACACACAACUUUGACAUGAACUAAACCCAUAUAUUGUGUAAAUUGUAAAACAGGUAUUAUGCAUUCUCAAACUGGGUAAAACGACUAUCAUGCAUCAACAUUCCCCUUUUAAGCUGCUCAAUUCAUAUGCCUUGAAGUAAUAGUGGUUUUAGGCUAAACAUCAUAUUUCCUGAAACAUAUCUGGCAUCUUGAAGAUCAAUUUUCACAUGAUCCUUUCCCACAGCAAUCUUCAGAUUAAUUGUGAAGUGAAGCUUGAGCCAUUUCAAAGUUCAGAGAGACACUUCCCAUUGAUGAAAUCAAUUACUUGGGCAACUGCCUCGUCAAGUGCAGCAGUCACUGCUGCCAAAUUCUGCAGGAAUUCCUCUGCGGCUGGCUUCUCACCAUCUACAAUAUCAGUCACUGCUUUUACAAAUAUUGCAGGGACUUUUAAAAGAUCAGCAACAUAAGCAACUGCUGCUCCCUGAGACAAAAUGUCAAGAAAUAAUUGAUCUUUUGUGGACGCAGAAGGAACAUGCAUAUGCAUUGAGGAAUGUAAUCAUUCUUUAAAGUAGCGUUCUUCCUAUAUCAUUUUAAGCAACUAAAUUACCAUAAUAGCAGGAAGUAUAUAUUUUCACUUGCUUGACCUUCCAUGACAAGGCAUAAGCAAAUAAUUAUGGUGCAUUAUCAAUAUUUAAGGCUCCUUUACAUUAUAAUCUCAGUUAUAUCAACUACAACAGCUUAAAUAAGCAUACAUCUAAUCUAUCAGAUACUAAAAUCUAUUAACUCUGUCCAUUAGAGGGUAGGGACAACAUGACCCAUUCAGCUCACAUCUUAUCAAAUGAUGUUUAAACAUUACCUCCAUGUCUUUAACUGAAGCAUCAUUUGCAAUAAUUGGUGCUUCGUCUUGUGGAGACAUGUCCAAAGAGUCUUCAGUAGACAACUUGAUAUUGCACAUUAGAAGUUCUAGCUGAUAUAUUGUGGGCUCCAAAUGAAUGAAUCAAAAAAUUUUCCACCAUGCCAUAAGAUCAGCAUAAACUAAAUACAAAUUCUUGUCAAACAUAACAUAAAUUAGUUUUCAUGAAAAUUAAUGAUCCCAAAAUAUGUUAUAGUCUAUCCUUAUUAUUUGAAGGAAAACCCUACCUACAUAUAAUUCAAUUUUUCAUGAAAUACUAUUUAAUUAAAUGCACUACUAACAGUAAAACUCAACCACCAAAAAUUUUGUUAACCAGCAAAAGCACAUAGGACAGACAAACCACUUGUAAAACAGAUAGUACACAUACACAAAUGAGAUCAAUGGUAUUCACACUUAACGCUACAUUCAACUACAAGGCCAGUGUGCACUACAAUAAAUUGAGUUGUUAAAAGUAAUAAUGGUCUAAACCACCACCUCGUAGAAUAAGUAAACAAAACCAAUGAAAUAUACAUAAAAUGCACCUUUUUUUAUGCAGGGUUGGUUUACUGUGAAUUUUGAACAAGCCUAAACUAUACGCUUGUUAUUGAAACAAUAGAAAGGCUCAUUCAUGAAUCUAACCAUCCAUCACCACCUCCCGGCAAUAAUUACUAGUUAACUUGUCUUUAAUUCAAAUUUUCUGAGACAAAAUAAGAAUAAUUAAAAAAAAAUCCCGGCAAUAAUUACUAGUUAACUUGUCUUUAAUUCAAAUUUUCUGAGACAAAAUAAGAAUAAUUAAAAAAAAAAACUAAUUACCUAAGAAUGAGAGUAAUUUAGCGGAGAGGAUAAUUACUAAAAAGAGACUGAGAUUGAGUGUAAGAGUGAGCCGCGGAGCGAGAGACUGAGAGUCAGAGAAAGAAAGAGAAAAUCAUACCCUCAUUCCAGCAUGCCAGUGACAAAAUGAAAAAAAAUUGAGAGAUAUCCUACCUCCUUCGCGACUGAGAGUGCGCGGAUUUUCUCCUUCGCGAAUGAAGUGAGAGAGUAGGAGCGAGAGAGGGUCAGUGAGAAAGUAAGAA
RNAcentral lists this unclassified non-coding RNA (2167 nucleotides) under Hevea brasiliensis (rubber tree). Lineage: Eukaryota; Viridiplantae; Streptophyta; Magnoliopsida; Malpighiales; Euphorbiaceae. The record is from RNAcentral.